GCUGAGAGCUUCAGGGAGGAGCUGAGCUGUUACUGAACUAUAGAAGAGACACAAACUUCCACAUUCAACACAGUUCAAACAUUAACUCUGAUCAUCAUGGACUAUUAUGGACUUUCUCUGCUGGUCGCCUCACUGCUAACAGGAAUCCGCUGUGAAGGACUGACUGCGGUUAAAACAGAGAUCUCCAGCUUAGAGGGCAGCUCUGUCACUCUGUCCUAUAAUUAUCCCAACCUGCGAUCUGGAGAUUAUUUCUUCUGGUACCGUCAGUAUCCAGGAGAACCUCCAGAGUUUCUGAUCUCUCAUGGUGAUAAAGGAAAUGUUAUAGCAAAGGUGAUUUCCAAACUUCAGAUUCACAUAGAAAACAAACGCCUGGACCUGCUGAUCUCCUCUGCUGCAGUGACAGACUCUGCUGUGUACUACUGUGCUGUGAGGCCCACAGUGACAGGAAACACCAGAACUCUGUACAAGAACCUGCAAUACUCCACUACAUCCACUAGAGGGCCUCACACACUGUUCCUCCUCUAUGGUUUGUUAGGAUUCAGUCUGAUUGUUUGUGCAGCUGAGAAUAAAGCAGACAUCAGAGUGUUUGCUGCAUCAUUGAGCUCUUUAUGA
Molecule: non-coding RNA, 612 nt
Organism: Cyprinodon tularosa
Lineage: Eukaryota; Metazoa; Chordata; Actinopteri; Cyprinodontiformes; Cyprinodontidae
Source: the annotation of a RefSeq genome assembly